UCAAAAUUCAAGCUAUUGCUUGGUGUUGAGCUUGAUUUUAUGAUCUGCUCGAAACUCAUUGGCAGCAGUCUCCAUGGCCGACAGCGCGACAGAAUUUCUCGCUGCAGAUCUGGAGAAUCAGUUUGCCGGUACAACAAAACA
RNAcentral lists this unclassified non-coding RNA (141 nucleotides) under uncultured Ascomycota. RNAcentral's name for it is "sequence contains ITS2". Lineage: Eukaryota; Fungi; Ascomycota. The record is from RNAcentral.